Molecule: long non-coding RNA, 1672 nt
Organism: Sebastes umbrosus (honeycomb rockfish)
Lineage: Eukaryota; Metazoa; Chordata; Actinopteri; Perciformes; Sebastidae
Exons: 5
Source: RefSeq, a predicted model, not a curated record
CUUGAAUCCCAGUCAGGUACCCCGUAUGGCUUCUAGUGUUACCUGUCGGUGCAGCGAGUCCUUGGUGGCCAAUUCAUUCUCCAGUUUGUCGUUGAGGUCGUGGAUGUGUGUGGUCUCCCGCUGAGCGGCCAGUUCCUCGCUGCGGCUCAGUUCUCGGCGUGCAUUCGCGAGCUCUGCCUCGAGGUCGGCCAUGCGGCCGUUGAGAGUGGCAGAGUGAUCGCGGCUCUGGGCCAGCUCCUUAUUGGUCCGAUCCAGCAGCUCCUGAAGCUCGGACACCCGGCUGCCGUCAUCGUGGGCGUCUAUGGAGCCGUUUGGCAGUCUCUGGCUGGCCUCAAACCGUGGAGGACAGGGCUCGAAUGAAGAGCAAGAUGGUAUCAGAAAGAGCCUUGUGGUGUUCAAACAGCGACUUGAGGGCUUUGAGGACCUCCACCUCGCUGGAGACUCCAGAUGGUGGGGGUGCCUGUCUCUUCACCACUGUCAUCCUCAGACUGCGUUCGUGACGAGACACCAAACACUCCAGCUGCUCCCGGCAUAUGUUCAGCUCCUUCGUCAGGGUGGCAAACUCCUGCACAAGACACACACACACACAUACAGAGGUUAAUACUGUAUCAGUGAUCAACAUAAUGGGUUGAGCACAUACAGUAUGCAGCUGUAAUCUCAGGGUGCAAACACAUGUGGGCGUGGCUGACAGGUUUUUGGUGGCACAAGCACAGGAUGAGCACAUUGCUAGUAGCUGUAGGAGGAAUUACUUUAUCAGCAGGUGAGGCUUAAAUAACGGGCAGUUCAGGCUGGCUUCUCCUAAAAGAAAACGUGUUGUCCGAGGGACACCGUCUGGGAGAAGCUUUCUGUGCACCUGCGAUAAGAGGUGGUCUGAGGAGGCAGAAAUGGCACUGUGCUAUCUGAUCUGCAUAAACACAACCUCAGCUGUGCCGCUCUGCCCACCUCAGCGCUCGCCUCUGGGUUUUUGUAAGCAAUAAUAUUAAGAGCAAGAAGUGGCUUAAAUUAAUGCCAGUGUGUCUAAUUGGACUCCCCGAAUCAGUCCUCACAUUCAACAUCCUGGUAUAACUUUCUCACAGAGAAAUAAACUCCCCAAGAAUCAUCAAGCAUGCAGCCAAAAUCACCAGCACCCCUCAAACACAACUCUCAAGACCUUUACAGUCAUGCAGUAAAGAGAAACUUCAUCACUAUCUAUUUUAAACGAGGCCAAAUAGACUGUCACAACUUUUUAAUCAUCUCUGGCAUAUUUCCUACUUACUUAAGCCGGAAGUUUGUAUUUCUCCAAAACAGCUAUGAUCGUAGGUCACAUAAAUGGCUUCAGUUUAAGGCGCCUUCUAUCAGUACAGAAGCUGGCAAAGCCUGAUCCACUACGGUCCUGGUCUUGGAACGAUCUGCAGGCCAAGCUUAAACUUGAGACCCUUAUCUCUUUAAAUUAUUUUAAACAUAGAAUAAAGGAAGUGAUCACUGCUAGCUGCAGUUGCUUCAAUUAAAUAGCAAACACAUGACCAACAUGCUGCCCUGUUAAUGCACUGUAUAAUGUAAUGUAUUUUGUCUUACCUAUUGUUGCUGCUAUGAUUCAAUGUUGUCUUGUAUGUGUUGGAUGCUGCUAUUUGACCCUGUCUUGGCUAGGUCUCACAUGUAAAAGAUAUUUUAAUCUCAAUGUGACUGUGCACUC